This 4358-nucleotide long non-coding RNA is filed under the name Lupinus angustifolius (narrow-leaved blue lupine). RNAcentral describes it as "long non-coding RNA (LANG_LNC001449)". Lineage: Eukaryota; Viridiplantae; Streptophyta; Magnoliopsida; Fabales; Fabaceae. The record is from RNAcentral.
CUAAAGAUAUGACAUGCCAAGGUAAGAACAGGUUCUUAAGGAUCUUUUCAAAAAGCUGAAUAAAUGGCUCAACCCUAUGCAAACGUUUUUAACAAACUAUCUGUAAAAAAAAAACUAGACUGAAUCUAAGAAAAGCUUAAAUUACCUCAGGAUCAAAUCGUACUGUUCAGGUAUCAGUUGGGAUUGACAUCACUACUUGUGGACUAAAUGACGAAUUCCAGCAUACAGAUGAUAGGACAGAGCUAAGCCAGAUAACUCAACAGCAAGUAGGUUGAGUUUUGAUGAAUAAAACAAGAACUGGUAGAAAGAAUCAUAGCUGAGGCUGAUCAAACCAAUUUUCAUGUAUAUCAUAUAAAAAAGCAAUAUGACAGUGGAUAAGAGGGCUCCGGAGAUUCUAUUGAAAAUUGAGAGUGUUGAAGAUAGUUGUGGCUGAUAAAGAGGAAGAUGAGGAGAUAACGGUCGAAGGCCAUAUGUCUUUGUCUCACUGAUUGUACCUGCAGUGUCACUCAUAAAGCGUUUAUGACCAGUCAAUCCCAAUGUGUCAGUAUCCACACUUCUCUGAAGACUUCUAGCCAUCACAGCAUUGGCUCCCUGUCGAAAAUGUAAACAUCAUCGGCCGAUUAAAUAUAAACUAAAUCACAUGAAUUUAUAACAAAGGAACUUAGUACUUACCAGUAGCAUUGGACUCUUGGCAGCCCAGAGUCUAGAACUUCCAAUAACAUAUCCAGCUCCAGCCAGCACAGUGGUGUUCUGUCCAGAAGCCUUGUAUCCCUGACAUGGGUGAACAAUCCCAAGGGAUUAGAAACUCAACAGAGCUAAAUUAAUAGUGAUUGUCAACAUUGUAUUUGAUGCAAAGCGGCACUUAGUGGAUUUACAUCCAUGAUCAUAGUAAUCAUGCCUCGACCAUGCCAUCAAAGGACAAGAUAACACUAAAGCUAAAGAAAAAAAAGUUCACAAUUUCAUAUGUGCAUGUGGAAAUAUGCAAUAAAAGGUCAUAUUAUUUGAAUAAACAAUACUCAAUAAAUGAUGCUGCACAUAAGCAAAAGAAAUCACAAUUCAGUAAGCAUCCUCUACAUUAUUUAGCAAUAGAUUGUCAAUGACAUUGACAACAAUAGGAGCCUUUCAAGUUUCAACAGUUAUUACUCAGAACCACUCUGUAUAACACGCAUAAUAAAAGGAAAACUAGCCCAAGGUAUUUUCUUCAUCAAACUCCAAAAACCUGAUAACUACAUGCGAUGGAAUUAACUAUGCAAUUUUGUCUUCGGUUAUCACUCAAAUGUUGGAGAAACCGUUCUGAUAUGAUUGAUUGUUACCAACAGGGUUAUUUUCUAUUUAAUCAGGUUAUAAAACUCUAUCAUAAAUCAUGUUUAUUGAUAUUCUAGUGAGUUCAUAAUAAAGAACAAAAGCACACGGAAGUGAUGAGAAAGGUGCAUACCAGAGGAUUAUUGAUCUUAUCAAUAGAAUCACUUGGAAGCAUAGCGAUUGGAUUGUUGAGAGAAGGGAAACUGUUGAACUUUCCAAACUCGCCAGUCAAGUUUCCCUUGGAAGGAUUUUCAUUCUCUGAAAUGACAUUAAACAUCAAAUCAACAAUCAAAACAUAAAAUUCAACAGCACCAGCUAUUAGAAAUUUGAACUGCAUACUAUAACUUCAUAUCAAUACAAUUAAUUAAGCAUAUACAGAACAUCACAAAAUUCUUUCAAUCAAACAUGAAAUAUGCAAAUCCUAAAUAAAAUACAAUAAAACGAUUCAAAACCUAAUAAUUAUAUUAUUCAGGAAAGGGAUCCGAAAUUCCAGAGCAAUUUGUUCUAUUCGUCUUAUUAUUUAUAUCCUAAUAAUGAUAAUAAUAAAAUAGAGUGAAGUAGUACCGGGAGAGAGCGUAGCGGUGUUGCGGUGGAAGAUUUCGGUGGCGGUAGGGAGGGGUUUGAUCCGAGGAGUAGAAGUGGGAAGAGAAGAGAAGGUUCUAGAAAGAGAGGAAGAAAAAAGUUUGGGCUUAUUAGAUCUGAGGAGGGAAGACAUGGUUUCGUUGGUAAUGAAGAGAAUAGAGAAUAGAGAUUGGAGGAAAAUAUAAUGAGAAGAGGAGAAUUCAGUGAAGAGGGAAAUGGAUACCAGAGACAAAGUAGGGCUGUGCCACGUAAUACUCCAAUUUCUGAUGCACACUUCCAAACUUGUGCUCUUAUGUCAUCCCCAUUAAAGUGAUAAAUAUCAAAACAAAUAAUUACUAUAGGAGAAUUUGGAAAAAUAUUUAUCAUUAACAAAGUCUCACUUCUAUUACCAAACAGGCUUAGAUUCAAGUGGUACAUGUUUGAUUCCUCCUAAGUAAGAUAUCGGGUUCUACGUAUUGUAAAUGGAAAAAAUGUCCGCUGAAAGAGUUAGUCACAUACCUGCGGAUGUUCCCGUGAGAAAUAAAAAGAAAGAAGUUUCAUUUCUACUAAAGAAUGUUUGACCAUGAAAAAGUUCAUUCCUUCUUUAUGCCGUAGUUGAGUAGUUGGUGAAUAUUUCAUGUUUGUAACAUUAUGAUGUUAUGAAUAAUUUAUAAAGGAUUACAGAAGGAGUUAAUUAUUUCAAAGUGUGUGAUUGUUUUUUUUAAUAAAUGUAGAUACUAGAAAUUGAAUAUUUUUAAUCUUUAUGGAAUUUAUUGAAAUUUUACACACUAAACUACCAUCUUCUUUAUAAAUUAUUAUUACAUGAGUGGGGGGUUACAUUAUGCCUAUUUUCAUUUCAUCUUCGCAAUUUCAUAAAAGGAAAAAUAACCAAACUAUCAAUUAUAACCAAAGCUUAACAUUAACCUUAUAAAUAAGAGAAAGAAAUGUAUAUAUCUUGGUAAGAGUUUUGUAUAAUAAGACUAUUAUUCAUUAUAUAAAUGAAAGUAAUGUAAUGAUAAUUUUUAAACUGAUAAGGUAUAGAUAUUAUAGUUUAUAAAUAAAUUAAACGAGUAAAUCUCAAAACUUUGAGUGAGACUCAACUUUUAAUUUGUUAUCUUUUUUUAAUUUGUAAUGGAAGAGUCUCAAAUCCACAAACUCAUUCAAUCAAUUCUUUAAGUUUCUCCAUCUUAACUAUCAUACCACCUCAUCACUCAUUUAAUUUGUUAUGGAUGUUUGAACAAUUUUCUUUUCACAAAUCAAAUCUAACUUAUAAAUACCCGACUUUCUAACCAGACACUUUAACUAACCUAAUGCAGUGUGCAAUCGACACUGUUCUCAUAUAAAUCAUCCUUUCCACCGAGGUAAAUCUUUGCCUGCUAGGCAAGAGGAUAGUGGGUGGUGAAGGGAGGGCCCCAAUUGGUAGAAAAAAACCCGCAACUCCUUGGGGUUAUCCUGCACUUGGAAGAAGAAGACUGCCAAAUAAAAUGCAUCCCUAGGCUUUUAUAAUUGGCUGCAUUUUCAACGGGUGAAGUUAUGGCGCAUAGUUUAGAAAUCCAUAAUCAAUGUAGCAAUUGUUUAUGGUCCUAUUAUGUUCAUAUAUUCAUUUAUCACACAGAAAUAGCUAUCUAGUUCCACUCAUUGCUGACGUUGCUAGACCAAUUCUAAUAAAUUCUGCACCAUAUAAUUAUUUUUCCCAGGAAGGCAUUUUCUGUUUGAUGGACGAACAUAGAACUAUUUUUUAAUGAUUUUUAGAUACAGAUAAUUGACAAUAAAGUUAGCUGGUCUUACUGAAUUUUCCAGACAUAUAUACACUUUAGAAAAUUCCACACUACUUCAAUCGUAUAAUUGAUGAUGUUAAGGUCACCAAAAAUCUGACAUGCAUUUAUUAAACCCGACAGUUAAUUACAUGCAAUUUGAAGAGAGAAAAAACAUCACUGAGAUUCCAUAUGCAAGCUAAAUGUAGUUAUGCUCAACACAUAUGAAGUGAUGGCCCAAACUGUAAAAGUAUUUUGUUGAUAACAAACAGAAGCAAAUUCACAUCAUCUAAACAAGGUUCAGUGCUUAAUGGAUUUGUUCGUGACACAUGGGAAGUAUGCAUCCAGCGUCCAUAUAAGCAAGCAUCACCUAAAGAUAUGACAUGCCAAGGUAAGAACAGGUUCUUAAGGAUCUUUUCAAAAAGCUGAAUAAAUGGCUCAACCCUAUGCAAACGUUUUUAACAAACUAUCUGUAAAAAAAAAACUAGACUGAAUCUAAGAAAAGCUUAAAUUACCUCAGGAUCAAAUCGUACUGUUCAGGUAUCAGUUGGGAUUGACAUCACUACUUGUGGACUAAAUGACGAAUUCCAGCAUACAGAUGAUAGGACAGAGCUAAGCCAGAUAACUCAACAGCAAGUAGGUUGAGUUUUGAUGAAUAAAACAAGAACUGGUAGAAAGAAUCAUAGCUGAGGCUGAUCAAACCAAUUUUCAUGUAUAUCAUAUAAAAAAGCAAUAUGACAG